CAGAGGGUGCAAACGUUGCACGGAAUCAUUGGGCGUAAAGCGCACGUAGGCGGCCCAGCAAGUGGGGAGUGAAAGCCCUCGGCUUAACCGAGGAAGUGCUUUCCAAACUACUGGGCUUGAAUACUGGAGAGGGUCGCGGAAUUCCCGGUGUAGAGGUGAAAUUCGUAGAUAUCGGGAGGAACACCAGUGGCGAAGGCGGCGACCUGGACAGAUAUUGACGCUGAGGUGCGAAAGCGUGGGGAGCAAACAGGAUUGGAUACCCUGGUAGUCCACGCCGUAAACGAUGAGUGCUAGAUGUCGCGGGUAUUGACCCCUGCGGCGUCGAAGUUAACGCAUUAAGCACUCCGCCUGGGGAGUACGGCCGCAAGGCUA
Molecule: ribosomal RNA, 372 nt
Filed under: uncultured organism
Description: bacterial SSU rRNA
Rfam family: Bacterial small subunit ribosomal RNA
Source: RNAcentral